AAUCUGUGCUUGGGACAUUUACAUACAAGCUCCCUAUAUCGCUCACAUGCCUCGUACAUGGAUUCAUCAUCUGCCUGCUGAAAAGAAGUAAUAUCGUUACGUAAUUU
Molecule: small nucleolar RNA, 107 nt
Organism: Hibiscus syriacus
Lineage: Eukaryota; Viridiplantae; Streptophyta; Magnoliopsida; Malvales; Malvaceae
Source: RefSeq, a predicted model, not a curated record